RNAcentral lists this ribosomal RNA (397 nucleotides) under uncultured bacterium. Its description in RNAcentral is "partial 16S ribosomal RNA". It matches the Rfam family "Bacterial small subunit ribosomal RNA", at positions 523 to 918 of the family's 1533-position model. The record is from RNAcentral.
AUACGUAGGUGACAAGCGUUAUCCGGAUUUACUGGGCGUAAAGGGCGUGUAGGCGGUCUUGCAAGUCAGAAGUGAAAUUCCUGAGCUCAACUCGGGCGCUGCUUCUGAAACUGCAGGACUUGAGUGCUGGAGGGGAUAGCGGAAUUCCUAGUGGAGCGGUAAAAUGCGCAGAUAUUAGGAAGAACACCGGUGGCGAAGGCGGCUAUCUGGACAGUAACUGACGCUGAGGCGCGAAAGCGUGGGGAGCAAACAGGAUUAGAUUCCCUGGUAGUCCACGCCGUAAACGAUGAAUACUAGGUGUAGGGGGUAUCGACUCCCUCUGUGCCGCAGUUAACACAAUAAGUAUUCCGCCUGGGGAGUACGGCCGCAAGGUUGAAACUCAAAUGAAUUGGCGGGG